GGACGAACGCUGGCGGCGUGCUUAACACAUGCAAGUCGAACGGAAAGGCCCUGCUUUUGUGGGGUGCUCGAGUGGCGAACGGGUGAGUAACACGUGAGUAACCUGCCCUUGACUUUGGGAUAACUUCAGGAAACUGGGGCUAAUACCGGAUAGGAGCUCCUGCUGCAUGGUGGGGGUUGGAAAGUUUCGGCGGUUGGGGAUGGACUCGCGGCUUAUCAGCUUGUUGGUGGGGUAGUGGCUUACCAAGGCUUUGACGGGUAGCCGGCCUGAGAGGGUGACCGGCCACAUUGGGACUGAGAUACGGCCCAGCCUCCUACGGGAGGCAGCAGUGGGGAAUAUUGCACAAUGGGCGGAAGCCUGAUGCAGCAACGCCGCGUGCGGGAUGACGGCCUUCGGGUUGUAAACCGCUUUCGCCUGUGACGAAGCGUGAGUGACGGUAAUGGGUAAAGAAGCACCGGCUAACUACGUG
Molecule: ribosomal RNA, 469 nt
Filed under: uncultured bacterium
Lineage: Bacteria
Description: partial 16S ribosomal RNA
Rfam family: Bacterial small subunit ribosomal RNA
Source: RNAcentral